Molecule: long non-coding RNA, 2106 nt
Filed under: Homo sapiens (human)
Lineage: Eukaryota; Metazoa; Chordata; Mammalia; Primates; Hominidae
Description: HSALNT0123896
Source: RNAcentral
CCCACCUCAGCCUCCCAAAAUGCUGGGAUUACAGGUGUGACUCACUGCUCCCGGCAGAAAAAUUUCACUACCCACAACUAUCACUAAGUCCAAGCAGUGGGCUCUCAUGAAUGCCCACCCUUUUCCAACAAGCCUGGGGGACAGCGAAGGGUGCUGAAGCACGUGGUGACAGCACCGCUGGAGAGGCAGCGUACCUCUGGGGUUGCACAUCGGCCAGCAACUUGGGACAUCACAAAAGAAAAGAGCCAAGGCAGCUUAAUUUUACACCAAAUUCUUGCCACUAGCAGGAAUAAACGUUUCAGACUCUGGCCAGGCGGUGGGGUAUACCAAAGGGUUCUUUCAGCUUUUAGAUCAUCCCUGAGGUCAGCUUCCUGGGGAACCCUCCUAGGCCCAUCUGCCAUGAAAGACAACGUGUGGGGGACAGAUGUGCUAGGCAGUGCACAGGCAUUAUUUUAACUUUUGAGUGCUUUUAUUCCCUUACUUAUGAGGCUACUGUGUGAAUUACAUAAUUUUUGCUGUUUUAUUGUUUGCUUCCUUUAAUCCUUUAAUCCUGGGUUAUAAUUAUUGUUACAUUGAUCUAUUUAUUUUUCUUUUUCUACUUAUAUGGAACUUAUUCUAAAUAAGAAUUGGGUAAGAUUGGGUAAGAUUUUUUAAAGCCAUUUUUACUACCUUCAUUUAUCUUUAGCCUUCUACCUUUUAUUGGUGAUUUUUUUUUCUCUCUUUUAUUUAAACUACUUUCUUGUUAAUCUUUAUUUUUCAAUGUUCUUUCAUCUUGCAUCCUGUUCAUCUUUACUGUUGACAUUUUGAAAGCGAGUAAAAAGUGAAUUAUGUUUUAUCUGGAUGUGUGGCUGCUAUUGCCAUAAGGCAGGGCUGGGGUGGAAAAAGGGAGAGAAGGGAAGGAAAAGGAGAAUAAAGAAAGACAAACACCCCCAGGGAUCUCUUCCACAUGCUUCAUCCUGCAGAGACCCGUUCCUAGCAUCCUCUGGCCUGAAGGAAUUCUUCGUGGAACUCUUUGGAUUUUCCCAUGUGUGCAAUUCCAUGAUUUGCACUGCUUCAAAGUCUCAACUAGGAGACAUGUGAGGAGAAAGCAACACACAGGAAACUCACUGCUGUCUAAUAAUUUCCCUCCCCAGCCUGCCUGCUAUGAUUUACUCUUCAGAGCCCUGCAUAAUUGCUCUAUGUCUUCUCCCAGGGCUCUGCCUUCACAUGAAUAGGAAACACAGAGCUAAGUAUACGCUCCAUCUCUGCUGGAUCCAGGUGUCCAGGCUUAUCUUUAAUGGAGUUGUGAAAACAAAGGCUGUACCUCCAGGUCAUGGCUUCUCAACAUGGACACUCCUGACAUUUGGGGUUGAAUAAUUCUUUGUUGUAGGGAACCAUCCUGUUCAUCACAGAAUGUUUAGUAGAAUCCUUGGCCUCUACCCACUAGGUGUUAGUAGUACUCCCACAGCUGUGACAUUUAAAAAUGUCUCCAGGCCUGGCUCAGUGGCUCACACCUGUAAUCCUAGUAACUUAGGGAGGUGAGUCUAGGAGUUCAAGAGCAGCCAAGGCAACAUGAUGAAACUCUGUCUCUACAGAAUGUAAACAAAAAUUAGCUGGGUGUGGUGGCACGUGCCUGUGGUCUCAGCUACUCAGGAGGCUGAGGCGGACGGAUCGCUUGAGCCUGUGAGGUCAAGGCUGCAGUGAGCCAUGAUCGUUGCCACUUGCACUCCAGCCUGGGUGACAGAGAGAUCCUGUCUCAAAAAUAACUAACUAACUAACUAACUAAAUAAAUAAGUCUCCAGAUGUUGUCCAAUGUCUCCGGGGGACCACUGGUGCCUGGCUAAGAACCACUGCCCCCAUAGCCACACAGAAGUCAUGCAGGUGGAGCCAAAUGGGAAAGGGUGUCUGUCAACAGAUGAAUGGAUAAAGAAAACAUGGCACACAUACACAGUGGAGUACUAUUCAGAAUGGGAUCCAGUCAUUUGCAACAACAUGGAUGAAACAGGAGGAUAUUAUGUUAAGUGAAAUAAGCCAGGCACAGAAAGAUAACCAUCACAUGUUCUCACUCAUUGGUGGGAGCUAAACACUUAAAACUGAAGGAUGUUUUACCAGAAGGAUGGUUACCAG